UUUGGCUUCGAUAGCAUGUUGAACCAGUUCCCGAUGGAUCACUGAAGUUAAACAACGUUGCGCGUGGUUGGUAUCCGGAUGGGUGACCGUAUGCACCCUGUCGAAAUGUUUAAA
RNAcentral lists this ribosomal RNA (114 nucleotides) under Diaphorina citri (Asian citrus psyllid). The record is from RNAcentral. Lineage: Eukaryota; Metazoa; Arthropoda; Insecta; Hemiptera; Psyllidae.